This is a non-coding RNA of Podarcis lilfordi (Lilford's wall lizard), 72 nucleotides long. The record is from the annotation of a GenBank genome assembly. NCBI's taxonomy places the organism in Eukaryota, Metazoa, Chordata, Lepidosauria, Squamata, Lacertidae.
AUUAAUGUAGCUCAGUGGUAGAGUAUCUGCUUUGCCUGAAGAAGGUCUCAGGUUCAAUCCCUGAUAACGAUA